CUUCGCCGUCUAUUGUAUCUACCCUUGCGCGGAUACCAAUUAUUUGGUAUAUCGCAGCCAAAAUCAGAUCACUAAUUUUCAACAAGUUACAGACAACUCUCCCUUGUGCAUUCAACACUCCCAUUAUAUAAUCAUUGAUGACAUCAUGUGGGUGGCACUAUGGGAGCUGACCUUCCCAUUGGUUAUCUGGGAAGUCUAAAUCGGAUUGGCCCUUGGAAAUUUCAUUUUUAACAGCCAGAAAGAACCUUCUGGCUGUAGUUCUCGCAACAUAAAACCAGGUGGCAGCAUACAGUACAACAUAGCAAUACAAUACAGCAUUUCUGACAUUUUUAAGCAAGUUAAUUUUUUUUUUUCAUAAAAUGGUUAUUUAAUCAGAUUACACUCUCUGCAUUAAUCAUAUAUAACCCCAAUUACAGAUGGUUAAUAUUAGGUUAUUUUUUUUUUUAUUAUUAUUCUGAUACCAAAUAUGUUAUAUUAUUAACAUUUUAUUAUAUCAAGGCAAUUUAAUACUGCUAAUUAGUAGCUUAAAAUGCAUUACAAUUUUAUCGGUAUCCUGGCAUUUAUAUGUGAAUAAUAGCUUAUUUUUAAUUCAGUAUUGUACUGUAUUCCAAGUGAAUCCUGUCUAUGUAGAUCUGAAAUAAGAAAAUAAAUGUUAAUAAUCACUUCU
Bombina bombina (fire-bellied toad) is the source of this 667-nucleotide long non-coding RNA. RefSeq lists it as uncharacterized. Lineage: Eukaryota; Metazoa; Chordata; Amphibia; Anura; Bombinatoridae. The record is from RefSeq and is a predicted model, not a curated record. The transcript is spliced from 2 exons.